GAUGAACGCUAGCUACAGGCUUAACACAUGCAAGUCGAGGGGCAGCGCAGUGUAGCAAUACAUGGGCGGCGACCGGCGCACGGGUGCGUAACGCGUAUCCAACCUUCCCGUUACUCAGGGAUAGCCUUCCGAAAGGGAGAUUAAUACCUGAUGGUGUUUGAAUUCCGCAUGUUAUUCAAACUAAAGAUUUAUCGGUAACGGAUGGGGAUGCGUGACAUUAGGUAGUUGGGGGUGUAACGGACCACCAAGCCGACGAUGUCUAGGGGUUCUGAGAGGAAGGUCCCCCACACUGGUACUGAGACACGGACCAGACUCCUACGGGAGGCAGCAGUGAGGAAUAUUGGUCAAUGGGCGAGAGCCUGAACCAGCCAAGUCGCGUGAGGGACGACGGUACUAAGUAUUGUAAACCUCUUUUGUCAGGGAACAAAGAGACCACGUGUGGUAAGAUGAGUGUACCUGAAGAAAAAGCAUCGGCUAACUCCGUG
RNAcentral lists this ribosomal RNA (485 nucleotides) under uncultured bacterium. RNAcentral's name for it is "bacterial SSU rRNA". It matches the Rfam family "Bacterial small subunit ribosomal RNA", at positions 28 to 507 of the family's 1533-position model. The record is from RNAcentral.